UUGUAUACGCGGUGAAACAGUAGCGCAAGCGGCUGUGGAGUGUAUAGAAGUGAGAAUGCCGGAAUGAGUAGCGCGAAUGCAGUGAGAAUCUGCAUGGCCGAAAGCCUCAGGUUUCUGGAGGAAGGUUCGUCCGCUCCAGGUUAGUCGGGAGCUAAGGUGAGGCCUAACGGCGUAGCCGAUGCACAGACGGUAGAGAUUCCGUCACCACCAAAAGAGUUAAACACAGGGACACAUUUGAAGUCUCGGAGCCGGGUGUUGGUUCCGGUAGUGAUCGAGGGAAAUUAGUACCGAAGUCCGGGAUGGAAGAUGGCGAGAAAAGCUGUGUGUAUUUCUGCGGUGCCCGUACCGCAAACCGACACAGGUAGGUAGGAAGAAGAUUCUAAGGCCAACGGGAGAAGGGUUGUUAAGGAACUCGGCAAAUUGACCCCGUAACUUCGGGAGAAGGGGUGCUCCAGAGAUGGAGCCGCAGAGAAUCGGCCCAAGCAACUGUUUACCAAAAACACAGGUUUGUGCUAAAUCGAAAGAUGACGUAUACGAGCUGACGCCUGCCCGGUGCUGGAAGGUUAAGAGGAGAUGUGCAAGCAUUGAAUCGAAGCCCCAGUGAACGGCGGCCGUAACUAUAACGGUCCUAAGGUAGCGAAAUUCCUUGUCAGGUAAGUUCUGACCCGCAUGAAAGGCGUAAUGAUUUGGGCACUGUCUCGACAGCCCGCCCGGCGAAAUUGUAGUACCGGUGAAGAUGCCGGUUACCCGCGACAAGACGGAAAGACCCCAUGGAGCUUUACUGUAGCCUAAUAUUGGGUUUCGAUGUUGCAUGCACAGGAUAGAUGGGACACUAGGAAGCAAGUGCUUUGGCAUUUGUGGAGUGGCCGUUGGGAUACCAUCCUUGCGAUAUUGGAAUUCUAACCUGCGCCUUUGAAUCAAGGCGGGGGACAUUGUUAGGUGGGCAGUUUGACUGGGGCGGUCGCCUCCUAAAGAGUAACGGAGGCGUUCAAAGGUUCGCUCAGCUUGAACGGAAAUCAAGCAAAAGAGUGCAAACGCAGAAGCGAGCCUAACUGCGAGACUGACGGGUCGAGCAGUAACGAAAGUUGGAGUUAGUGAUCCGGUGGUAUGUGAGUGGAAAUGCCAUCGCUCAACGGAUAAAAGUUACCCUGGGGAUAACAGGCUGAUCCCCCCCAAGAGUCCACGUCGACGGGGAGGUUUGGCACCUCGAUGUCGGCUCAUCGCAUCCUGGGGCUGUAUUCGGUCCCAAGGGUUUGGCUGUUCGCCAAUUAAAGCGGUACGCGAGCUGGGUUCAGAACGUCGUGAGACAGUUCGGUCCCUAUCUGUCGUGGGCGCAGGAUAUUUGAUGGGAGCUGUUCCUAGUACGAGAGGACCGGAGCGGACGUACCUCUGGCGCACCAGUUGUUCUGCCAAGGGCAUAGCUGGGCAACUAUGUACGGAUCGGAUAAACGCUGAAAGCAUCUAAGCGUGAAGCCGACCCAAAGAUAAGAUAUCCCAUUGUUUCAAACAAGUAAGACCCCUUGAAGACUACAAGGUUGAUAGGCAUGAUGUGUAAGUGGAGUGAUCCAUUCAGCAAGCAUGUACUAAUAGGUCGAGGGCUUGACCG
Molecule: ribosomal RNA, 1606 nt
Filed under: metagenome
Description: bacterial LSU rRNA
Rfam family: Bacterial large subunit ribosomal RNA
Source: RNAcentral